Molecule: ribosomal RNA, 868 nt
Filed under: uncultured bacterium
Lineage: Bacteria
Description: bacterial SSU rRNA
Rfam family: Bacterial small subunit ribosomal RNA
Source: RNAcentral
UGAAGUUGGCGGUGUGCUUAUGCAUGCAAGUCGAACGGGGAUAUGACUUUCGGGUUAUAUUCUAGUGGCGAACGGCUGAGUAACGCGUAAGUAACCUACCCUCGAGUGGGGAAUAACUUGUCGAAAGGCAAGCUAAUACCGCAUGAAGUAACCAAAAGGUAUGUUUAGUUACCAAAGUCUUCGGAUGCUCGAAGAGGGGCUUGCGUCUGAUUAGCUAGUUGGUGAGGUAAUGGCUCACCAAGGCGAUGAUCAGUAGCUGGUCUGAGAGGAUGGUCAGCCAGAUAGGGACUGAGACACGGCCCUGACCCCUACGGGAGGCAGCAGCAGGGAAUAUUGGACAAUGGGCGAAAGCCUGAUCCAGCGACACCGCGUGAGGGAAGAAGGCCUUCGGGUUGUAAACCUCUUUUCUCUGGGAAGAAAUUUGACGGUACCUGAGGAAUAAGCCUCGGCUAACUACGUGCCAGCAGCCGCGGUAAUACGUAGGAGGCAAGCGUUAUCCGGAUUUACUGGGCGUAAAGCGGGCGCAGGCGGCCUUUCAAGUCGGAUGUAAAAUCUCCCGGCUCAACUGGGAGGGAUCAUUCGAUACUGUUGGGCUAGAGGACAGCAGAGGGAGGUGGAAUUCCCGGUGUAGUGGUGAAAUGCGUAGAUAUCGGGAGGAACACCAGUGGCGAAGGCGGCCUCCUGGGCUGUUUCUGACGCUGAGGCCCAAAAGCGUGGGGAGCGAACAGGAUCAGAUACCCUGGUAGUCCACGCCCUAAACGAUGGACACUAGGUAUGGGGAGUAUUGACCCUUCUCCGUGCCGAAGCUAACGCUUUAAUUCCCGCCUGGGACUACGACCGCAAGGUAAAACUCAAAGAAUUGAGACGG